Molecule: ribosomal RNA, 904 nt
Filed under: uncultured archaeon
Lineage: Archaea
Description: bacterial SSU rRNA
Rfam family: Archaeal small subunit ribosomal RNA
Source: RNAcentral
ACCCCACUGCUAUCGGGAUAGGACUAAGACAUGCUAGUUGAGCGCUUCAGCUAAAAAGAGGCGCAGCGUACAGCUCAGUAACACGUGGCUAAUCUGCCCUUAGGACGAGAACAACCCCGGGAAACUGGGGCUAACUCUCGAUAGGUGAAGAACUCUGGAAUGAGUCUUCGCCCAAAAAGCUUCACGUUAUGCGCGUGAAGUUGCCUAAGGAUGAGGCCGCGACCGAUCAGGUUGUUGGUGAGGUAAUGGCUCACCAAGCCUUUUACCGGUGCGGGCCGUGAGAGCGGGAGCCCGGAGAUGGGCACUGAGACAAGGGCCCAGGCCCUACGGGGCGCAGCAGUCGCGAAAACUUUGCAAUACACGAAAGUGUGACAGGGCUAUCCCGAGUGCCAUCCGCUGAGGAAGGCUUUUACCCAGUCUAGAACGCUGGGGGAAUAAGGAGAGGGCAAGUCUGGUGUCAGCCGCCGCGGUAAUACCAGCUCUCCGAGUGGUGUGGAUGUUUAUUGGGCCUAAAGCAUCCGUAGCUGGCUAAGUUAGUCCCUUGUUAAAUCCACCGAAUUAAUCGUUGGAUUGCGGGGGAUACUGCUUGGCUAGGGGACGAGAGAGGCAGACGGUAUUCCCGGGGUAGGGGUGAAAUCCUAUAAUCCCGAGAAGACCACCAGUGGCGAAGGCUGUCUGCUAGAACGCGCCCGACGGUGAGGGAUGAAAGCUGGGGGAGCGAACCGGAUUAGAUACCCGGGUAGUCCCAGCUGUAAACGAUGCAGCUAGGUGUUUGGACGGCCACGUGCCGUUCUAGUGCCGCAGGGAAGCUGUUAAGCCUGCCGCCUGGGGAGUACGAUCGCAGAUUGAAACUUAAAGGAAUUGGCGGGGAGCACACAAGGGUGAAGCUUGCGGUUUAAUUGGA